CCUUCUGGUUUGCUUGGGACUGAGAGGUUUCCUGGGAUGUGGGAUUUGCAGUGCUAAGACCAGGAAAGU
This 69-nucleotide microRNA precursor is filed under the name Loxodonta africana (African savanna elephant). Its description in RNAcentral is "miRNA (ENSLAFG00000030863.1)". The record is from RNAcentral. Lineage: Eukaryota; Metazoa; Chordata; Mammalia; Proboscidea; Elephantidae.